This 1223-nucleotide ribosomal RNA is filed under the name uncultured microorganism. Its description in RNAcentral is "bacterial SSU rRNA". It matches the Rfam family "Bacterial small subunit ribosomal RNA", at positions 281 to 1533 of the family's 1533-position model. The record is from RNAcentral.
GUAUCGCGCUCUUAGCGGAGAGUCCGCCACAUGAACUGAGACACGGCCCAUACCUCUACCGAGCAGCAGUAGGAUUUGCCGCAAUGACGAAAGUCUGACGCAGCGACAUCGCGUGAGGGAUGACGGCCUUCGGGUGUAAACCUCCUUUUGGGAGCCAUGAAGGCGCCCAGAUAAGCAACUACUAACUACGUGCCAGCAGUCGCGGUAAUACGUAGGUUGCAAGCGUUACCCGGUUUUAUUGGGCGUAAAGCGUCUGUAGGUUGUUUUUUAAGUCUUAUUUCAAAGCCUCCGGCUCAACCGGAGACAGGGGUAGGAUACUGGAAGACUAGAGUGAUAUCGGGGUUACUGGAAUUUAUAGUGUAGGGGUAAAAUCCGUGGAUACUAUAAAGAACACCAAGCGCGAAGGCGGGUAACUAGGUAUAUACUGACACUGAGAGACGAAAGCUAGGGUAGCAAAUCAGAUUAGAGACCUGAGUAGUCCUAGCCGUAAACAUUGUCUGUUAAUUCUUCCCUGUUUACAGGGUGGGAUGCAAGCUAACGCGUUAAACAGACCGCCUGGGGAGUAUAGCCGCAAGGCCGAAACUCAAACGAAUUGGCGGGGAGGCGCACAACCAGUGGAGCAUGUGGUUUAAUUCGAUACGAAGCGAUAAACCUUACCCGGGUUUGAAAUGUACCUGCAAAUCUCCAGAAACGGAGACUCUUUCGAAGGUGGUACACAGCUGUUGCAUGGCUGUCGUCAGCUCGUGACGUGAGUUGUUCUCUUAAGUGAGGUAACGAGCGCAACCCCUAUCGUAUGUUACUGUGUCAUACGAGACUGCCUAGCAUUAUUUUGUUAGGAGGAAGGAAGGGACGACGUCAAGUCAUCAUGAUGCUUAUAUCCGGGGCUACACACAUCCUACAAUGGAUUGUACAGAGAGUUGCAAUACCGCAAGGUGGAGCUAAUCUUUAAACAAUCCUCAGUUGGGAUCGCAGGCUGAAACUCGUCUGCGUGAACUUGGAAUUGGUAGUAAUCGCAAAUCAGCAGAUUGCGUGAAUACGUUCUCGCCUCCUGCACACACUGCCCGUCAAUCAAAAAAGUUGGGGGUACCCAAGUCCUGCUCUGCAGACCAAGUAAAUCAGCGAUGAGGUAGUCGUACAGUAACAAGGCCGAUCGUAACUGCAGAACAGUCCUAGGAGCUAAUGCAAACGACGUAUCAUGGGUCCAUAGCGUGUCUCCCUGUAGU